GACGAACGCUGGCGGCGUGCUUAACACAUGCAAGUCGAACGGAAAGGCCCUGCUUGCAGGGUACUCGAGUGGCGAACGGGUGAGUAACACGCGGGUGAUCUGCCCUGCACUUCGGGUUAAGCCUGGGCAACUGGGUCUAAUACCGGAUAGGAGACAUUUUUAGUGUGAUGGUUGGAAAGUUUUUUCGGUGUAGGAUGAGCUGGCGGCGUAACGGCUUGUUGGUGGGGUAAUGGCCUACCAAGGCGGCGACGGGUAGCCGGCCUGCGAGGGUGGACGGCCACCUUGAGACCGAGGGGCGGCACAGACACCGACGGGUGGGAGCAGGGGGGAAGAUUGAACAAUGGGCGCAGGCCUGAUGCAGCAGGGCCGCGGGGGGGAAGACGGCCUUCGGGUUGAAAACUCCUUUCGCUAGGGACGAAGCUUUUUGUGACGGUACCUAGAUAAGAAGCACCGGCUAACUACGUG
Molecule: ribosomal RNA, 465 nt
Filed under: uncultured bacterium
Lineage: Bacteria
Description: partial 16S ribosomal RNA
Rfam family: Bacterial small subunit ribosomal RNA
Source: RNAcentral